Molecule: ribosomal RNA, 450 nt
Filed under: uncultured bacterium
Lineage: Bacteria
Description: partial 16S ribosomal RNA
Rfam family: Bacterial small subunit ribosomal RNA
Source: RNAcentral
GUGGGGAAUAUUCCGCAAUGGACGAAAGUCUGACGGAGCAACGCCGCGUGAGUGAUGAAGGUUUUCGGACUGUAAAGCUCUGUUGUUUAGGACGAAAGUGCCUGUUGCGAACAGUUACAGGUAUUGACGGUACUAAACGAGGAAGCCACGGCUAACUACGUGCCAGCAGCCGCGGUAAUACGAAGGGGGCUAGCGUUGUUCGGAAUUAUUGGGCGUAAAGAGCAUGUAGGCGGGAAUCUAAGUCUGUUGUGAAAAUGCGGGGCUCAACCCCGUAUUGCGAUGGAAACUGGGUUUCUUGAGUGCAGGAGAGGAAAGGGGAAUUCCCUGUGUAGCGGUGAAAUGCGUAGAUAUUGGGAGGAACACCAGUGGCGAAGGCGCCUUUCUGGACUGUGUCUGACGCUGAGAUGCGAAAGCCAGGGUAGCGAACGGGAUUAGAAACCCGAGUAGUCC